This 345-nucleotide long non-coding RNA is filed under the name Panax ginseng (ginseng). RNAcentral describes it as "long non-coding RNA (PGIN_LNC002752)". Lineage: Eukaryota; Viridiplantae; Streptophyta; Magnoliopsida; Apiales; Araliaceae. The record is from RNAcentral.
GGAAGUGCCGAAAAUAAAGAAGCAAGACCUGAGAGAAUCUUCCACGUGUUCUGAGGCAGAAGACACGUGGAGGCGACUCAUUUUGGGAAUUGAUUGAGGGAUUGGAUUGGUGGCUAGAAUGACAGGAUGAUCUGGGCAUUACUCUAAUAACUAAGGGUAAAUUUGGAAUUUCUCCGAGGUCAUGUGCCUAGCACAUGACCAUUCUCCAGAAAAUCCUAUAAAUACCCCUUCCACUCUAUUGGGAAGGGGACGGCUCUUCAGACUCAAGACUUGGACUCUUGGAAGAUCAAAGGGACCCUUUUGGUGACUUAAAGACUUGGAGAUUCCACCUAAAAGCACUAAAAG